Molecule: long non-coding RNA, 872 nt
Organism: Oncorhynchus tshawytscha (Chinook salmon)
Lineage: Eukaryota; Metazoa; Chordata; Actinopteri; Salmoniformes; Salmonidae
Source: Ensembl
UGUAUUUGUGAUUUAAAGGGAGAUGUAUAGGUAGGGAAGGAUGCUGCCAGUUGAAACUGAAUUUAAAGAGUUAUUUGCUCUGUGAGUACAGUAUGUGAGCUGGCAUGAUCCACUGUGAGUGUCCUAGUGCUCUGUCUGUUAUUCACACAUACAGUGAGAUGAACUCUGCAGAGGGGAGGCAACAAACCAGGCCUAAAGAGAUAGAUAGAGAGAGAGAGAGAAAUCAUGCCUCAUCUAUUCUUCAUGACAUUACAUAAGCAUUUCCGAUUGCUGCCUUUUUAAAAUGUUUUAUUCACUCCACACUGGAGUGACUAAGUGGCUGUAGUCAGUGAUCGUGACCGGUUUUCUGGCCUGUUAUUUUUAGGAUUGCAUACACGGGUAAUAUUGAAUACCUUCCAGUUACUACCAAUGCACUUAUUCAGUGCUAGUGGACCACAGUGGUUAGUGACAGUUUCUCAUUGAAUGUCUGUUACUUCCCUUAAUCAGUAGACCAUUAAUCGUGUGGAUUGAUUGAUCAAGACAGUAAGUAAGAAAGAAAUACACAUGAAAUAUGCAUUUUUGUCAAAUCUACAUUACAGUUGUAUAAAUUACAAAAUGACCUUCACAAACAAGUAACUUUUAUCAAAUAGCAUCUGAGAAAAAUUGUGUGAGGAAAAGUGCCUUUUAUCUUUUCUUAAGCCAAGUGAAGCAACAAAAAAACAACAGCCAUAAAACAUUGUACUCCUCCAAUGGUUGAAUCUCAGGAGAAUCAAGCUAGCAUCAUGUAGUCAUCCAAAGGUUGAAUCUCAGGAGAAUCAAGCUAGCAUCAUGUAGUCAUCCAAAGGUUGAAUCUCAGGAGAAUCAAGCUAGCAUCAUGUAGUCAUCCAAAGGUU